UGAUCAGAGAAAUCCCAUACUACAAUGAGGACAGGAGGCUGAGAUCUGAUGCUUUUCCGAGCUCUUAUCCUCUUGUGUUUUUAUAGGAUCAUCCCUUUAUGUUGGAAGGGACAUCAGCUGCUGUACUAUACAAGGGAUCUCAGCUAUUUCCAGAAAGUAGAAGGCUCACCAGUUCUUCAAAUAAGACUUCUGGCAAAGGUGUCUGCAAUCCACAGCUCAAUCCAGCCUUGAGUAAAUCCAAGACUUCAGGAAAGGGCUCCUGGAAUCCACAGCUUAAUGCAGCCUUGAGUAAAUCCAAAUAAGACUUCAGGCAAAGGCCUCUGGAAUCCACAACUCAACCCAGCCUUGAGAAAACACAUUAGUUAUGGUUUAGUUAUGUUUAGGGCACAGAGUGCAGUUUCUGCCCAUGUUGGGAAACACCAGCUUACCCAAUGUUAUAUACCCUUUUAUCUACUGCUGGUGCAGACAAUAUGCACCCUAUAUUCACAGUAUCAUCUCUUUGUUAAUAUUUAUUUUCAACAAAAACUAUGGAAUCUCUUCUGUAUAGUGCAACUCUGUUCCUUGAGGCAAGAUGACAACCAAGAGUGGUUUAUGAGAAUAUGUUAUGAUUACUCUCACUUCCCUGGAUUUCAGAAAGUUAUGAUUACAUCAAAGCAUUUUUCCAAAGCUCAUCUAUUUUUGUUUUUCAUCUUCUUUUAUUGAUGAUGGAUAUUUGUAAUGAUUAUUCCUGGUUGUUUCCUAUUUGUGGACUGUUCCAUGUCUGUGGAGGAUUAUACCUCCAUGUUCUCAUUUUGUAAUUCACGCCUGAUUUUAUGCAACCGCUAAUGCUGACUCUCAGCCCUUCAUUCAGAGAUGUGAAGAUUGUGACGCGUUGUUCCUGAAGUGACUAUGCACAGGAUAAAAACACUCCCCUUUCAUCAGCUUUAGGUUUGCAACUCUCAGUUUCUCAGACCCUAUUUCUUGUAUUAUAAAAGCCCAACUCACACAGUGCAUAGUUCACCUUCUGUGAUUUGAUCACUUUAUAUAUCCAUAUCCCACAUUCUUUUAUUAUUCAAUUUUAUAAAGCCAGACAGUGAAAUCCUGACCUGAUUGAACUUGGUGGGAUAUUUGACAUUGCCUUCAACAGAACUAUAAUUUCACCUAAAAUCUUUGCAGCCUUUGAAUAAAUUGAAUUUUUGUUGU
This is a long non-coding RNA of Cygnus olor (mute swan), 1182 nucleotides long. RefSeq lists it as uncharacterized. The record is from RefSeq and is a predicted model, not a curated record. Lineage: Eukaryota; Metazoa; Chordata; Aves; Anseriformes; Anatidae. The transcript is spliced from 2 exons.